Molecule: long non-coding RNA, 362 nt
Organism: Eurytemora carolleeae
Lineage: Eukaryota; Metazoa; Arthropoda; Copepoda; Calanoida; Temoridae
Exons: 3
Source: RefSeq, a predicted model, not a curated record
AUUGGUUUUAUCAGCUGUUUACGUUUCAGAAAUAUAUGCUAGGUAUCGGGCGCCUAGCUAGGCACAAAGAGCAGACCAGCAAAGUCUGGUAGAAGCUCUACCCUCCCCUUAACACACAGCUGUAUUCCACAGCUUGUGUAGAUUCUACAAACCAGAUAAAAACUAGCUUCAGGACGGCCGGGGAAAGCGAGAGAGUGAGCAUGGCGAGUGCCCCUGCCACCUCCAGGUCUGAGUUUGUUGUUGGAGGAAAGUACAGGUUGGUCAGGAAGAUAGGAAGCGGAAGCUUUGGAGAUAUUUAUCUAGGUAUAAACAUCACCAACGGGGAGGAGGUUGCCGUUAAGCUUGAGAGUGUGAAGGCUCGU